AACGCACGAGACCUGCGGACCUGCGGAAGGAUCAUUACAAGUGACCCCGGUCUAACCACCGGGAUGUUCAUAACCCUUUGUUGUCCGACUCUGUUGCCUCCGGGGCGACCCUGCCUUCGGGCGGGGGCUCCGGGUGGACACUUCAAACUCUUGCGUAACUUUGCAGUCUGAGUAAAUUUAAUUAAUAAAUUAAAACUUUUAACAACGGAUCUCU
This 214-nucleotide unclassified non-coding RNA is filed under the name soil metagenome. Its description in RNAcentral is "partial contains 5.8S ribosomal RNA, internal transcribed spacer 2, and large subunit ribosomal RNA". The record is from RNAcentral.